This is an unclassified non-coding RNA of Dipodomys ordii (Ord's kangaroo rat), 353 nucleotides long. Its record names the gene 7SK. It matches the Rfam family "7SK RNA". From Rfam's summary of the family: 7SK was discovered as an abundant small nuclear RNA in the mid-70s but a possible function has only recently been suggested. Two independent studies have found that 7SK RNA binds the CDK9/cyclin T complex (known as elongation factor P-TEFb). The record is from Ensembl. Lineage: Eukaryota; Metazoa; Chordata; Mammalia; Rodentia; Heteromyidae.
GGAUGUGAGGGCGAUCUGGCUGCGACAUCCAUCACCCCAUUGAUCUCCAGGGUUGUUUCAGCUGAUCUGGCUGGCUAGGCAGGUAUCCCCUUCCUCCCUCACCACUCCAUGUGCGUCCCUCCCGAAGCUGCGCACUCGGUCGAAGAGGACGACCAUCCCCGACAGAGGACGGGUCUUCGGUCAAGGGUAUACGAGUAGCUGCGCUCCCUUGCUAGAACCUCCAAACAAGCUCUCAGUCAAUACAUUUGUGUACAUAUACAUAAUACCCACAUUUGUGAGUAUAUAAGCUAAAUCUAGCUUCCACAUAUAAAGGAAAACAUGGAUCUUUUGUCUCUCUGGGACUGACUUAAUUC